GAUGAAAACGUAGCGAAAUGCGAUACGUAAUGUGAAUUGCAGAAUUCAGUGAAUCAUCGAGUCUUUGAACGCACAUUGCGCCCCCUGGUAUUCCGGGGGGCAUGCCUGUCCGAGCGUCAUUGCUGCCCUCAAGCACGGCUUGUGUGUUGGGCUCCGUCCCCCCGGGGACGGGCCCGAAAGGCAGCGGCGGCACCGAGUCCGGUCCUCGAGCGUAUGGGGCUUUGUCACCCGCUCUGUAGGCCCGGCCGGCGCCAGCCGACAACCCAUCAUCCUUUUCAGGUUGACCUCGGAUCAGGUAGGGAUACCCGCUGAACUUAAGCAUAUCAAUAAGCGGAGGA
This 338-nucleotide unclassified non-coding RNA is filed under the name soil metagenome. RNAcentral's name for it is "partial contains 5.8S ribosomal RNA, internal transcribed spacer 2, and large subunit ribosomal RNA". The stretch from base 1 to 119 matches the Rfam family "5.8S ribosomal RNA", at positions 35 to 154 of the family's 154-position model. The record is from RNAcentral.